Molecule: ribosomal RNA, 138 nt
Filed under: uncultured bacterium
Lineage: Bacteria
Description: partial 16S ribosomal RNA
Rfam family: Bacterial small subunit ribosomal RNA
Source: RNAcentral
UACGUUCCCGGGCCUUGUACACACCGCCCGUCACACCACGAAAGUUGGCAAUACCCGAAGCCGGUGGGCUAACCCUUUUAGGGAGGCAGCCGUCGAAGGUAGGGUUAAUGAUUGGGGUGAAGUCGUAACAAGGUACCC